UUUUCCCCAAAUCAUAAAACCUAUCUCCUUCCCCAAAUUCACCAAGGGCUCUCCACCACCACCACAGAACCUAAAUCGCAGCAACCAAUCCUAAAUUCUAGCUACCCACACCACGAUUUGAGCUGAACGUAUCCCCAAAAUACCUCAACUCCAUUCCCGAAUGUAGGUCCAAGGAAAACUGUGCAUUGCCAGUCUCACACUCGUUCGACCGAAGCUAUGUAGCCUAAGUCGAAAUCCCAAUAAAGUUUAAAACUUUAAAACUAUUGUCUUCAAGGAAAGAAAGACUCACGACAAGGGUGUUUUGAAACAAUCAAGGCUGACGGCAACC
Molecule: long non-coding RNA, 328 nt
Filed under: Olea europaea (common olive)
Lineage: Eukaryota; Viridiplantae; Streptophyta; Magnoliopsida; Lamiales; Oleaceae
Description: long non-coding RNA (OEUR_LNC000512)
Source: RNAcentral